GUAAGUACAUUAAGAUCAGGACGAAACUGAUCCUCAUUCUCUCGAUUAUUUUCCAUAUUUCUCUGAGGUCCUUCAACGUUAGGACUCUUAUCAUUGUCAUCGCUCUCCGAAGAUGAUAGAUCUUGAGAGCAUUGGAGACUAUGCAAAGGUCACCACGUAGUUCGCUCACCAGGGCGGUAAUUUUCUGAGCAUCCGUAAGGACUUCAACAGAUUGUGUGUAAGGAUUAUAACGCAGACCAAAAGGACGUUGAAUUUGAUUAGCAAAGGCUCUGAAAAAGAAAUCAUCAAAACAUCAAUCAAUCAGGUAACAUCAGGCUCGAAUCGGAAUGUUUUCUCCGGUGUGGAAACUGCGUGUCUUAAUUCGGCUACUGAUGAAAGAAGACCAGCGCCAUAUACACGGAGUAUACCGUCUUGUUUGCAGAGUCCAAAUUCAACAGUGAAGAAAUAUAACUGGAAUAGUCAACACAUUGAUUAUAAUUAAACUCAGGAUGCUGUAUAUCCGUCGCUUCUUGAUUGAGAGAACGAAUCGAAUCAGGGCAAUUAGAUGGCAUUCAAUUCAACUCCCUUCAAUUCUAUCGCACCUAGAAGUCUCGCCUUAGGUUGAAAAACUCACUGGAUGAUCAGCAUCCAAUUCGAGCCCAUACAUGAGAACUUUCUGGGCCUGAUCCAGAUCAGCUAUUUUCCUUGGGAACCAGGGCAUGUUCACCUCACUGAAGUCUGCCGAAAUAUUCUCACCGAAACUUUGUGCUGCUGAUAACGUCGGUGCAUGGGGUACAUUUCCGGUUUGUUCGUACUGGGCUAAAUUAAUGGCUGCCACUUCACGACUCAACAUCC
Long non-coding RNA from Cephus cinctus (wheat stem sawfly), 834 nucleotides. RefSeq lists it as uncharacterized. The transcript is spliced from 6 exons. Lineage: Eukaryota; Metazoa; Arthropoda; Insecta; Hymenoptera; Cephidae. The record is from RefSeq and is a predicted model, not a curated record.